Talpa occidentalis (Iberian mole) is the source of this 104-nucleotide small nuclear RNA. NCBI's taxonomy places the organism in Eukaryota, Metazoa, Chordata, Mammalia, Eulipotyphla, Talpidae. The record is from RefSeq and is a predicted model, not a curated record.
GUGGCUUCAUUAGCACAUAUACCAAAAUUGGGACAAUACAGAGAAGGUUAGUUUGGCUUCUGUGCAAAACUGACAUUUAAAUUAGUGAAGCUUUUGUAUUGUUG